This 253-nucleotide ribosomal RNA is filed under the name uncultured bacterium. Its description in RNAcentral is "partial 16S ribosomal RNA". It matches the Rfam family "Bacterial small subunit ribosomal RNA", at positions 524 to 776 of the family's 1533-position model. The record is from RNAcentral.
UACGUAGGGGGCAAGCGUUGUCCGGAAUCAUUGGGCGUAAAGCGCGCGUAGGCGGCCCGGUAAGUCCGCUGUAAAAGUCCAGGGCUCAACCCUGGAAAGCCGGUGGAUACUGUCGGGCUAGAGUCCGGAAGAGGCGAGUGGAAUUCUCGGUGUAGCAGUGAAAUGCGUAGAUAUCGAGGGGAACACCAGUGGCGAAGGCGAGUCUCUGGACGACUCCUGACACUGAGGCACGAAAGCCGGGGGAGCAAACAGG